AUGAUCUUGCUAACUAUUGUUCUCCUUUUCGUUUUAUAUCGAAAAUCUUUGUUCUGCUACUUCUGUUGUAUAUGGCUUGGUAUUACGGUUUGGAUUAGAUACAAUAGCCUUCAGUGUUCUUUGGUAUUAUCUUCUUUGUAUGUGCCAUGGGAUUUUCAUGAGCUGUUUUUUGGUAUGAAUAUGAUGUACAAACUGGUUUUGUGCAGAUUGCAAGGCAGUCGGUUUGAUGUCUUAUUGGCGAAAUUCUGUAGCACAAUGAAGCAAGGUUCGGUGCGAUGA
Molecule: non-coding RNA, 279 nt
Organism: Vicia faba (fava bean)
Lineage: Eukaryota; Viridiplantae; Streptophyta; Magnoliopsida; Fabales; Fabaceae
Source: the annotation of a GenBank genome assembly